UGAAGCGUUGGUAAAACAACGUGGAGGACCGAACCAGGGAUCGUUGAAAAGAUCUUGGAUGACUUGUGGGUAGGGGUGAAAUUCCAAUCGAACCUGGAGAUAGCUGGUUCUCCUCGAAAUAGCUUUAGGGCUAGCCUUGUGGUAAAGCUNNACGGAGGUAGAGCACUGAAUGGAUGCGGGGGCUUCACCGCCUACCAAAUCUUAUCAAACUCCGAAUGCCGUCAAGAGAAUACACAGGAGUCAGACUAUGGGGGAUAAGCUUCAUAGUCGAAAGGGAAAGAGCCCAGACCGCCGUCUAAGG
Molecule: ribosomal RNA, 301 nt
Filed under: Acinetobacter pittii
Lineage: Bacteria; Pseudomonadati; Pseudomonadota; Gammaproteobacteria; Moraxellales; Moraxellaceae
Description: partial 23S ribosomal RNA
Rfam family: Bacterial large subunit ribosomal RNA
Source: RNAcentral